RNAcentral lists this long non-coding RNA (643 nucleotides) under Homo sapiens (human). RNAcentral describes it as "HSALNT0215552". The record is from RNAcentral. Lineage: Eukaryota; Metazoa; Chordata; Mammalia; Primates; Hominidae.
UGGCCUAGGGAAGAAGUUCAAAAUAAAACUGUGGAGUUCAAGAUGAAGAAACUCCAGCAUUCAAAAGGCAGUAAUGGAGGAUAGGCUGAGAAGAAAAAUCUUAGAGAUGGAGGAGUGUUCCUGUGUUCUGGAAGCUUGGGAAAGAUCAUGAAGAGAAUGAAGAUCAUUAACAGAAUGAGCAUGAAAGAUCAUGAAGAUCACUAAGAGAAUGGCCCAAGCAAGAACUCAUCAAGACGGCAGAUGUGAGCAGAAGGCAGAUAAGUAGGAGAAAAAACAAAUGUUGGGAACUGUAGGGAAAAAAAAGAGACUUUUUCUAGGAGCUGUCUGCAAAAAGGGAUGCUCAAGAUAAGGUGCUCAUUAAUGAGGAGUUGAGAACAAUGAUUUUUUUAUCUCUAAAAAUGGGAAGAUCAUGCGUAAGUUAUCUAAAAUCAUUGUGAAAGAUCUCAUUAAAUGUGCUGGAGACAGACAAGGAAUAAUUGAGAUUUUAAGAUUCUUGAUCAAGCAGGGAAGUCUGUCUUAGAAUAAGGGGUGAGGGAUAACCUCAAAUGAGAGAGGGGACUGCCUGCUUGAAGUUACCGGGACAGAAGAAGAGGAUGUAGGAGCACUUGCUCCUUGAAUGAAGAUGAAUGAGUCAGAGAGUUCA